UCCGUUAUGGUGUAGUGGCUAACAUUAUCGCCUCUCAUAUCGAAGAUUCAUCGGAAAGGAUGCGCGAUAGCCCAGGGUUCGAUUCCCUGUAACGGAA
This is a non-coding RNA of Paramarasmius palmivorus, 97 nucleotides long. The record is from the annotation of a GenBank genome assembly. NCBI's taxonomy places the organism in Eukaryota, Fungi, Basidiomycota, Agaricomycetes, Agaricales, Marasmiaceae.